Non-coding RNA from Macaca mulatta (Rhesus monkey), 809 nucleotides. Lineage: Eukaryota; Metazoa; Chordata; Mammalia; Primates; Cercopithecidae. The record is from RefSeq and is a predicted model, not a curated record.
CUCACCUCUGCAAUAGUCCUGACCAAUGGAAAACUGUGGCAACCUAAUACAGACAAGACCACUGAGGACUUGGAUCUCACAAGAAUGAAGGAUUAGGUCACUCCAUUGGGCAAUAAGUCCCAUUCGGUGAAGGCAUUCCAAGAGGCCAAGGGGGCAGCCUGGGCAACUGGAGCCACAGGGGAACAGCAAGAGGAGGGCUGUGCUUUCACAUUCGACCCUUACAGAGGGCCUUGGCAGGGCUCCCCUUCCCUCCCCAGCCAUUUUCUGGGCUUGAAUUCAGCAUUCAGUCGAUCUCCUCAUUAGAAAGAGUGGCUCUGUGGGUCUGCAGGAUCACUCAAUACAGAGAGAAAUGUACUUACCAACCGUUAAUGCUGAGCUUGGCCGCGUGACUUGCUUGAGCUAAUGGGACGUCAGCAGACACAAAGCAAGCAAAAGCUUGGAAUAUGCUUGUGCAGUUAGAUUUGCCUUCUUGGGCCUUUGCCAUUGCCGGGAGAAGAGCAUGCCCUCCAGAUCGAGAAACCUGGGGAACAAAGCCAGAUACAGCAGGCCUGUGGCUUGAGGCAGAGCCUCCCCAGUAGACCUGCAGAUGCCAGAAUAAGGAGUAAAUGCUGACUGUUGUAUGCCACCAAGUUUUGGAUGGUUUGUUACGCAGCAUUAUUGAGGCCACAGUUGACUGAGUUAAGCUCACUCCACUCCAAGAUCCAGAUGCGUGUCUAUGGAAAUAGACUAAGAUGAGCUGGACUUACAACCAUCAGGUAGUAAUGAGAAAUUUCCUUUCAUUGAUUAAACUAUCCAGCUGGGUCAGGUUA